UACGAAGGGGGCUAGCGUUGUUCGGAUUUACUGGGCGUAAAGCGCACGUAGGCGGAUUGUUAAGUCAGGGGUGAAAUCCCGGAGCUCAACUCCGGAACUGCCUUUGAUACUGGCAAUCUUGAGGCUGGAAGAGGUUGGUAGAAUUCCCAGUGUAGAGGUGAAAUUCGUAGAUAUUGGGAAGAAUACCAGUGGCGAAGGCGGCCAACUGGUCCAGAUCCGACGCUGAGGUGCGAAAGCGUGGGGAGCAAACAGG
Molecule: ribosomal RNA, 253 nt
Filed under: uncultured bacterium
Lineage: Bacteria
Description: partial 16S ribosomal RNA
Rfam family: Bacterial small subunit ribosomal RNA
Source: RNAcentral